GACGAACGCUGGCGGCGCGCCUAACACAUGCAAGUCGAACGGAGCUGAGAGAAGCUUGCUUUUCCUAGCUUAGUGGCGAACGGGUGAGUAACGCGUGAGUAACCUGCCCUGGAGUGGGGGACAACAGUUGGAAACGACUGCUAAUACCGCAUAAGCCCACGAUCCGGCAUCGGAUUGAGGGAAAAGGAUUUAUUCGCUUCAGGAUGGACUCGCGUCCAAUUAGCUAGUUGGUGAGGUAACGGCCCACCAAGGCGACGAUUGGUAGCCGGACUGAGAGGUUGAACGGCCACAUUGGGACUGAGACACGGCCCAGACUCCUACGGGAGGCAGCAGUGGGGGAUAUUGCACAAUGGGGGAAACCCUGAUGCAGCGACGCCGCGUGGAGGAAGAAGGUUUUCGGAUUGUAAACUCCUGUCGUUAGGGACGAUAAUGACGGUACCUAACAAGAAAGCACCGGCUAACUACGUG
This 468-nucleotide ribosomal RNA is filed under the name uncultured bacterium. RNAcentral's name for it is "partial 16S ribosomal RNA". It matches the Rfam family "Bacterial small subunit ribosomal RNA", at positions 28 to 507 of the family's 1533-position model. The record is from RNAcentral.